AUACGGAGGAUCCGAGCGUUAUCCGGAUUUAUUGGGUUUAAAGGGUGCGUAGGUGGUUUGAUAAGUCAGCGGUGAAAGUUUGCAGCUUAACUGUAAAAAUGCCGUUGAAACUGUCGGACUUGAGUGUAAAUGAGGUAGGCGGAAUGCGUGGUGUAGCGGUGAAGUGCAUAGAUAUCACGCAGAACUCCGAUUGCGAAGGCAGCUUACUAAGCUACAACUGACACUGAAGCACGAAAGCGUGGGGAUCAAACAGGAUUAGAUACCCUGGUAGUCCACGCAGUAAACGAUGAUUACUAGCUGUUUGCGAUACACAGUAAGCGGCACAGCGAAAGCGUUAAGUAAUCCACCUGGGGAGUACGCCGGCAACGGUGAAACUCAAAGGAAUUGGCGGGG
This 393-nucleotide ribosomal RNA is filed under the name uncultured bacterium. Its description in RNAcentral is "partial 16S ribosomal RNA". It matches the Rfam family "Bacterial small subunit ribosomal RNA", at positions 523 to 918 of the family's 1533-position model. The record is from RNAcentral.